GAUGAACGCUGGCGGCGUGCCUAACACAUGCAAGUCGAGCGAGUGAAUCUCCUUCGGGAGUGAAGCUAGCGGCGGACGGGUGAGUAACACGUGGGCAACCUGCCUCAUAGAGGGGAAUAGCCUUUCGAAAGGAAGAUUAGUACCGCAUAAGAUUGUAGCUUCGCAUGAAGUAGCAAUUAAAGGAGCAAUCCGCUAUGAGAUGGGCCCGCGGCGCAUUAGCUAGUUGGUGAGGUAACGGCUCACCAAGGCGACGAUGCGUAGCCGUCCUGAGAGGGUGAUCGGCCACAUUGGGACUGAGACACGGCCCAGACUCCUACGGGAGGCAGCAGUGGGGAAUAUUGCACAAUGGGGGAAACCCUGAUGCAGCAACGCCGCGUGAGUGAUGACGGCCUUCGGGUUGUAAAGCUCUGUCUUCAGGGACGAUAAUGACGGUACCUGAGGAGGAAGCCACGGCUAACUACGUGCCAGCAGCCGCCGUAA
Molecule: ribosomal RNA, 480 nt
Filed under: uncultured bacterium
Lineage: Bacteria
Description: partial 16S ribosomal RNA
Rfam family: Bacterial small subunit ribosomal RNA
Source: RNAcentral